Molecule: long non-coding RNA, 107 nt
Organism: Sapajus apella (tufted capuchin)
Lineage: Eukaryota; Metazoa; Chordata; Mammalia; Primates; Cebidae
Exons: 3
Source: RefSeq, a predicted model, not a curated record
GGGAGGCCGAGGCGGGGAAACCACUUGAACCAAGGAUGGUGAGGCUGCAGUGAGCCAAGAUCAUGCCAUUGCACUCCAGCCUGUGUGACAGAGCUAGACUCCAUCUC